CCCCUUCCUUUGUCAAUUUAGCAUUGUUACUCAUCUCUUAGAGAUUUCGUCUCCCUUAUACCUUAUAUAUCUUCGACACUUUUUUUUUCCUUAAAUACUCUUCUCUUUUACUUUCUCGAUUACCUCAUCCUCUGGCUUUUCUUAGCUACUCUAAUAAACUAAUCCUUAUUUGGUACUUCUUAACCACACACUAAUGUAAACAAAACAUGAGGAUCCUCUUUACAUUCCCAAACAGAAAACAAGCAGGCAUAAAAAUUCACUCAAUCAAAUAAACAUUUUAAUUCAAUCAAAACAAUCAAUCAUCAAGCUCAAGCAAAACACAUAAUCAAUCAUUCAAACAACAAUUUUUGUUUUUUCAUAAAAACUUUUUAUGAAACUGAUUUUCAAAAAUCUGACCCUCCAUUGACGCUGAGAUCGGAGCUGCCGUACGUUGUGUUUCGUUUGAUCACGUCUAAGUGGGGAGAGAAAGCAAACAUCACAUAUCGUCACCAUUCAACAUUGGUUUGAUUAGGAGUGAAAGAAGAAAACAGUGUCAAGUAGUGGAUUUGGGUAUCCGUUUCCCGAUACGUCCAAACGAAUUAAGGCAAUUUGAUUACGGAUAUGGAUAGCCCUUGUUGCCAAGAUUUCAGAACAGUUUUCGGAUUCUCAAUCAGAGAUCUCGCUGCAAAGAAGCAAUUGCAAUCGACGGUUUGUAAAACGGAGAUUCAACUUGGGUGUUUUUUAAGGCUCAUAUCUAUCGAAGCAGAGAGAAUAAGUUGACGUGAAGGGUGUCUUUGGAAAGCUCAUAUUGUCAAGAAUGCACCGCAUGUGUUGGAGAUUAAAUCGAGGUUAUAUUCAAGAAGUUACGAGUGUUUCUUUCUGGCCAAAUAACUGCAGAAACUGUCCAAAUCUGUGCUAAGUAUGAACCAGAAAACAGUUCCGAGAGAUGUGAUUGAUGGCAACGUUUGGAGGUCGAAACAGUUUUUGAUCGGGACGAAAUUUGGUGGAGAGCUUCAUGGGACUACUGGAUAGAUAAUCAACGGUGGGAUUACGUUUAUAACGGUUAGUUCUUGACUUAUGUAUAUGUUUCCGAGACAGUUUUGUGUGAAGUAAAUUGUGACGAGUUUGUGUUGUUGGUUGGGUAAAUGCGCUCGGUUUAAGCUGAAGCUUUGUAGGAGCUUUAAUGACUCAUGAAUUCAAGUCCCCGUUGAUGGAGAACCAAGGUAGAACUUAAGAUCGUGUGGUUGCAGUAAAGAUAUUAAGUGUGCCUAAUGAAAAGAAAGGAGAAGUGAGUCUUCGUCUUCAAUAGGCUAAGGUGAGUAAGCUUCAGGAGUUGUGUGCAAUAUUUUUGUUCGUGUUUGAAGUUUAUAGAAAAUGUUUUGGCAAGAUCGGAUGAAUAAUAUACUGUCUUAGCCUGUAUGACGGGACGGGUGUUACACUUAUUAAGAAUUCUUUGUUUUUAUGUUCUCAUGCACUCAAGAGAAUUUUUGAAAUUGUUAUUUAGAUGUAACCCCAACAAGGAUUAAGGGAAAUAGGGAAUGAGCCAUUUUUGGUAUAUUAUACUA
Molecule: long non-coding RNA, 1544 nt
Organism: Arabidopsis lyrata subsp. lyrata
Lineage: Eukaryota; Viridiplantae; Streptophyta; Magnoliopsida; Brassicales; Brassicaceae
Exons: 5
Source: RefSeq, a predicted model, not a curated record